AGAAUCAACGCUGGCGGCGUGCCUAACACAUGCAAGUCGAUCGAGAAAGUGGAGCAAUCCAUGAGUAAAGAGGCGCACGGGUGAGUAACACGUGACUAACCUACCCUCGAGUGGGGAAUAACCUGGGGAAACCCGGGCUAAUACCGCAUAAUACCCACGGGUCAAAGGAGCAAUUCGCUUGAGGAGGGGGUCGCGGCAGAUUAGUUAGUUGGCGGGGUAAUGGCCCACCAAGACGAUGAUCUGUAUCCGGCCUGAGAGGGCGCACGGACACACUGGAACUGAAACACGGUCCAGACUCCUACGGGAGGCAGCAGUGGGGAAUUUUGCGCAAUGGGGGAAACCCUGACGCAGCAACGCCGCGUGGAGGAUGAAGUCCCUUGGGACGUAAACUCCUUUCGACCGGGACGAUAAUGACGGUACGGAUGAAGAGCCCCGGCUAACUUCGUGCCAGCAGCCGC
Molecule: ribosomal RNA, 458 nt
Filed under: uncultured bacterium
Lineage: Bacteria
Description: SSU rRNA
Rfam family: Bacterial small subunit ribosomal RNA
Source: RNAcentral